Molecule: ribosomal RNA, 294 nt
Filed under: uncultured archaeon
Lineage: Archaea
Description: partial 16S ribosomal RNA
Rfam family: Archaeal small subunit ribosomal RNA
Source: RNAcentral
CAGCAGGCGCGAAAACUCUACAAUGCAGGCAACUGCGAUAGGGGAACAUCGAGUGAUACUCAUCUUGGGUGUCUGUCCUCCCGUCUAAAAAACGGGAGUUAGCAAGGGCCGGGCAAGACCGGUGCCAGCCGCCGCGGUAAUACCGGCGGCUCGAGUGGUAGCCGAUAUUAUUGAGUCUAAAGGGUCCGUAGCCGGCUUGUGCAAGUCUUUUGGGAAAUCCAGCGGCUUAACCGUUGGUCGUCCGGGAGAUACUACMUUGCUUGGGACUGGGAGAGGUAGGAGGUACUCAGGGGG